CACCCUUAACCCCUCUAAACUUAAUUUUCGAAAAAUAGAUUGACCAAUAUGGAUAUAUAUAUAAAAUCGAUGGCAAUUAAACAAAACUUGCUGCAACUUUGACCCCCUCCCCCAGCAAUUUAUUUGAAUUAAGUUUUUUAUCCUUCAUUGAAUUUUUGAUGUCGUCCCUUAUACAUUGUGUUUUACAGAUAUGUAUAUAUGCAAUGAAUGCAGCAAAUCUUACAAGACUAGAAAAGGUCUUCAAAACCAUGCAUGUAAUAUAUGCCAACUAUGUAGAAAAACCUUUCCAUCAGCACAAAAAUUGAAAAGACAUAAUUGCAAACAACAGAUAUUAAACAAGGAGAUGCUGAAAUGCCAACUUUGUAAAAAGGAAUAUUCUACAGAGAAUAGACUAAGAUCUCAUAAAUGCUCAUAUUGCCAGAUGUGUUCAAUUCUUUUCUCAACAUACCAAAAAUGUUCCAAUCAUAUCUGUCGACAUGCAGGAAAAACCUUGAAUACAGAAAAUGAAACAAAAGAUGAAGUAAAGAAUAACACUAAAAGAAGACAAGACUCAGAAAGUCAAGAAUAACACUCAAGACUCAGAAGACAGAUGAAGUCAAGAAUAACACUCAGAAGACAGAUGAAGUAAAGAAUAACACUCAGAAGAGCAGAUGCAGGAAUCAAGAAUAACACUCAGAAGACAGAUCAAGUCAAGAAUAACACUCAGAAGACAUAUGAAGUAAAGAAUAACACUAAGAAGGCAGAUGAAGUCAAGAAUAACACUCAAAAGACAGAUAAAGUCAAGAAAAACACUCAGAAGACAGAUAAAGUCAAGAAUAACACUCAGAAGACAGAUAAAGUCGAGAAUAACACUCAGAAGACAGAUAAAGUCGAGAAUAACAC
This 882-nucleotide long non-coding RNA is filed under the name Mytilus galloprovincialis (Mediterranean mussel). The record is from RNAcentral. Lineage: Eukaryota; Metazoa; Mollusca; Bivalvia; Mytilida; Mytilidae.